UUCCAAGACGACCUCAUCCCCAUCAUCACCAUGCCCAGGGAUACUUGUUCAUAGCCAGCCCAGAGGUGCACCAUAUUUUAGCUUCUCACGGCUUUCACUUGUUUUCUCCUGUGGGUGAAUUCUAACUAGGCUCGCCUGAGUUUCCCAUUGGCCCAACCCAACUGGAAGCCAGAGAACAAUCCAGAAAACUCAGACUCCUGAGUGUCAGAGCAGGGUUGAGGACUGAGACUGAAUAUGGAGGGGCAACUGGAAAAUACCCAACACAUGCAAAAAGGAAAAUAGAAACUGCUUGUCAAUGCUUAAUGUGUCCAUUAAUUUCCACUUGAUACAAUGUUCUUGAGUGAUUCAGAACAUUCAGAACCACCCAUAGUGGCGAGAAGAGUUUUUGAGUUUUGUCUGAGAACAAAAUUUUCCCAUCAUCGAAGAGUUUGAGCAGGUUCUGUGUGUUUAGGAUGUACUUACUGGAUGUUUCCCAAUGUGAUAGGUGGUUAGCACUGAUAGCACAUUUAGUGUGAUCAACAGAUCAACCAGAUUGGCUUCACUAGUACUUGUAAAGUUUGGGGAGCAGCCACUGGGACUGCAGCUCUGAAUUUAAGUCCUAUACAGCUUCUUGAAUCUCACAGUUCUGCUAAUACCUGAUUUCUCUGAGUGCCACGGCACUCGAGCCUAUAACCAUGAGGUUUCUUCACUUUUCUGGUAGGAGGCAUAUCCUUGCUAGCUGUACUUCAUGAACACUGUACUCUUUCAAAUUGGGGCCAUUUACUUGGUAAAAGCCCUAGGGAAGAAAAAAUUCGUGUGCUGGGAUGGGGAUCAGGAAUGUGACUUGAGAAAAGAGACAAGAUGUUAAAACUGAGUAUCAGCUGUGGGCAAACAAAUUGGCCUGGUAGGAUGUUCACCCCUUUUCUGGCCUCA
Callithrix jacchus (white-tufted-ear marmoset) is the source of this 912-nucleotide long non-coding RNA. RefSeq lists it as uncharacterized. The record is from RefSeq and is a predicted model, not a curated record. Lineage: Eukaryota; Metazoa; Chordata; Mammalia; Primates; Cebidae.